GUGAGUGAUCUGCACGAACACAAAUACUCUUAUCUCGCUGGAAUCUUGACGGAUUUACAAACGGUUUGGUUUCUUACAAACGUUAUUAACGUGGCUAUAAUUCUGGAUGCUUGAACAUGUUGAAAUUGCAGCUUUUCUUUUCGAAAAACGACUUAAUCGUGCAGCAUAGUUGUGUAUCACUGCUACUUGCGCAAGUUAUCAAGGCUGAGACCACAAUCGAGCUGUUCAAUUAUAUAGGUUUUACUGACACCAAUAACGAUUUUAUGAUGACUAAUCUUUUGUCUAAAUUACAGUCUUUGUGGAUGUGGUUGUAGUUAUUAGCUGGCUAAUAACAAGAAGCUUUGAGUGAGACCUAGUAGCAGCUAACGUUACAGUUUAGCAUAGCUAUGACAUAAUAGUAUUACAAGAUUGUUGUUGACCCAAGGCUUUUUAGAAGUUUGUUUACACAAUCGCUGAAUGUUUCUUUUGGACACCUUUUUAUAACUAGUUUAGUGUAGUUGUCUUAUUCUAAAGUACAUACAUGCAUACAUGAUGCAUACAUGCACACAUGCAUACAUACAAUUACCCCAAACAUAUGAUAAUUUAGGUGUGUAUUUUUGUCCUUACCGUUAAUGUUGAAAGAAGGAAAAAAAGGUUGGAAAUGUUGACAAUAAUUUAUAUAUCUGGGUACGUUUCUCACGUUUUUAAGGUUUCCCAAAACCGGAAAGAUGAGGAGGCAGUGGGAACUUGCUCUAAGAAGGGACGGUUUUGUUGCCUCUGACAGGACACUGCUCUGCAGUGAGCACUUCAGGAGUGAGGACUUUGACAGAACGGGGCAGAAUGUCCGGCUUAAAGAUGGUGUUGUGCCAACCAUUUUCAACUUUCAGGCUCAUCUUCAAAGGCUGGUAGCAACAAGAAGCCCAACCACCUCUAGAAGAGCGGAAAACAACCUGCCAACGGACUUGUCUCAGGAUGCACCUCAACCUGAUGUUGUGAGUAUUUGCAUGUGGAAUAUCAAACAAAUGAGAGCAUUAUAUGGCUUAUUAUAUUAAAUCCUUUGUCUUGGUGGUACCCAGAAAGGUCUAUGAUGGUGUUAGUAGUCUAAGAGCCCAAUAUUAUUUGAGGUGGUACUCUGUGUAAAAAGUUUGAGAACUACUGGCUAUCUCACUUGCUCUGUCACUCAUACACUUGAAUCAAUAAACAUGUGUGAACAUUGAAACUACACCCAGGGGUAGGCAACCUUUUCAAUCAAAAGAGCCAACCCAGAGUUGGGACCAGCAAGCAGAGCUGCUGUCUGUAUAAAAUCCUCCUCCUCACCUAUAAAAGCUCUUCACGGUCAGGCCCCUUCAUAUCUUUAAAGAGCUCAUAGUACCCUAUUACCUUUUUUUUAGAACACUACGUUCUCUGAAUGCAGGGCUACUUGUGGUUCCUAUAGUCUCUAAAAGUAGAACAGGAGCCAGAGCCUUCAGUUACCAAGCUCCUCUCCUGUGGAACCAGCUUCCAGUUGUGGUUUGGGAGGGAGACACCCUCUCCACAUUUGAGAGUAGGCUUAAGACGUUGCUCUUUGAUAAAGCUUAUAGUUAGGGCUGGAUCAGGUGAGUCCUGAACCAUCCCUUAGUUAUGCUGCUAUAGGCCUAGACUAUCGGGGGAUUUCCCAUGGUGCACUGUCUCUUCCUCUCUCUCUCUUUCUGCACUCAUUCAUGUCCCAUUAAUGCAUGUUACUAACUUCACUUCUUCCCCGGAGUUCUUGUGCUUUCUCGUCUCGCAGGUUCUCAUCGAUCCUAGUGGAGCCUCCUGCCAUGGUCCUGCUUGACUGCCAUUGCCAAUACUAUUGUUGCUGUGCACCUGUCUGUCUGUCUGUCUGUCUGUCUCUCUCUCUCACUCUCUCUCUCUCUCUCUCUCUCUCUCUCUCACCCCAACUGGUCGAGUCAGACGACCACCCACCUAGAGCCAAAUGGUCUGUCCUAGGUUUCUGCCUCUUAACAGGCAGUUUUUCCUUGCCCUUGUCUCCAAGGUCUUGCUCAUGGUGGUACUGUUGAUUCUCUGUAAAUAAUGUUAUAAGGAGUUUGGUCUAGACCUGCUCUAUUUGAAAAGUGUCCUGAGAUAACUUUUGUUAUGAAUUGGCGCUAUACAAAUAAAAUUGAAUGAUUGAAUUGAAUUGAAUUUUUUGAAUUUUGUAUCUCUAUCAACAUGCAGCAUUUCUUUAUGUAUAUUUGUAAAGGGAAAUCUUGUACCUAUUUUUUAUUGCAAAUAAA
This 2234-nucleotide long non-coding RNA is filed under the name Sander lucioperca (pikeperch). Its description in RNAcentral is "lncRNA (ENSSLUG00000006748.1)". The record is from RNAcentral. Lineage: Eukaryota; Metazoa; Chordata; Actinopteri; Perciformes; Percidae.